Molecule: long non-coding RNA, 956 nt
Filed under: Mytilus galloprovincialis (Mediterranean mussel)
Lineage: Eukaryota; Metazoa; Mollusca; Bivalvia; Mytilida; Mytilidae
Source: RNAcentral
GAACUCUUGAAAGAGGCUUUCCUCUGCUCUGUAAAAGUGUUAGGCCAGGUCCAAAAAUAGUUCACCCUAUAUAAAUAAAGGCAACAGUAGUAUAUCGAUGUUCGAAAGUCAUAAAUCGAUUGAGAGAAAAACAAAUCUUGGUUAUAAAUUAAAACGAGGGAAACACUUCAACUAUAAGAGGAAAACAACGAAACAACAGAAACACUGAUGUGCAACAAAAAACAAACGACAAUGCAACACACACAGAAACGAACUAUAAGAUAACUUUUGACAUUUUCCUGCAUUGGUACAGGACAUUUUAAGAAAAAAUUGUGGGUUGAAGCUUGUUUUGUUGAUAGCCAAACCUCGCGCUUUUAUGGCAAUGAUGAAUUUAACACUACAAUUACAACAUUACAUGACAGGAAUGCAGUACAGAUAAAUGCAAGAACAUUCAGCAUAGAGAAAUAUACAAAUAAACAAUACAAUAGUACAUUUUGACAUGCUAAUAGUUAUCAAAGGUACAAGGCUUAUAACUUAAUACGCCCGACGAACGUUUCAUCUACACAAGACUCGUCAGUGACGCUAAGAUCAAAAUAGUAAGCCAAACAGGUAAAAAGUUGAAGAGCAUUGAUGAUCCAAAAUUUCCAAAAGUUGUGCGGUUAAGGUUAUCUAUCCCUGGGAUAGAAAAAUCCUCAGUAUGUAUAAUAAUUUAUACUUGUGCAAACAGUAAAUUUAUAAAAAUGACCAUAUAAUUGAUAUUCAUGUCAACACCGAAGUGCUGAUUAACCACACAAUAAAAACGUAAAACAACCUAGGACAGCACAUAAAAACAGCACAACAGACCCACGCAUUGUCUGUCAAACGACUGGAUCGACGCCACAAAAGUGACGUCAGAUGUAAAUUUCUAAAAUAAUGAUAUAGUUCAAGUUGAGGUUUGUAAUUAUAGUAUUGGAUGUAUUUUAUAACAAUUACAAAAC